UUUAUUGGAGAGUUUGAUCCUGGCUCAGGACGAACGCUGGCGGCGUGCCUAAUACAUGCAAGUCGAGCGAAUCAAUGGGAGCUUGCUCCCUGAGAUUAGCGGCGGACGGGUGAGUAACACGUGGGUAACCUGCCUGUAAGAUUGGGAUAACUCCGGGAAACCGGAGCUAAUACCGGAUAACAUUUUGAACCGCAUGGUUCAAAAUUGAAAGGUGGCUUUUGCUACCACUUACAGAUGGACCCGCGGCGCAUUAGCUAGUUGGUGAGGUAACGGCUCACCAAGGCAACGAUGCGUAGCCGACCUGAGAGGGUGAUCGGCCACACUGGGACUGAGACACGGCCCAGACUCCUAC
RNAcentral lists this ribosomal RNA (352 nucleotides) under Metabacillus litoralis. RNAcentral's name for it is "bacterial SSU rRNA". It matches the Rfam family "Bacterial small subunit ribosomal RNA", at positions 1 to 342 of the family's 1533-position model. The record is from RNAcentral. Lineage: Bacteria; Bacillati; Bacillota; Bacilli; Caryophanales; Bacillaceae.